GUUAAUGAACUAUAGUGAAAAGGAAGUUUCAUAUAAAUUUCAAUGUUGCUAUCUCGAAUCUCUUGCACUUUUUUCCAGAUUUAGCAGGGCUUGCACACCAUUUUGUCUUUGGUAGCGCUUGCCUGGUAAGUGUUUAUUUGUUAAAAGUUCAGAAAAUGGUAUUUUUAUCAUACUAGGCAUGUUGAAAGAUUGUCUUGGGUGGUUUCGUAUUUUUAAUUUCACGUAGCACCACCUUAUCAUACGAAGCUUCUGGAAUUUAAUUCUUCUUGGUUAUGCUUGGUGAUCUUUCUCUGGUCAUGGACCAAGGAUUUUUGUUUCAGCCCCUGAAAAUUAAAAGGAUGGUAGAGAAUGAAGCCAUUUUACAUCGGGAUUUAUAUAGUGCAAUAUUUUUAGAUUGUUUAUGAUGCUCUGGAUAUUUGUUGUACUUACGCAGUUCCUAAUCUGCUAUUGAUGUUUGAUAUCGUGCAAUUUCAGGUACAUCAUCUUGGACGCAAUCAACGAGCAAUAUCUGUUAUCAUGGACACACAUUUGCUAAUAUUGAAGAAGAUCUUCAAUAAUGGUUAUAGCCCGGAAAAUAUUUAAGGAUUGAGAUUUAUGUCCAAUUUGAUGGGAAGGUGCUACCACGGACAUCUUAUCUUAGG
Molecule: long non-coding RNA, 641 nt
Organism: Lolium perenne
Lineage: Eukaryota; Viridiplantae; Streptophyta; Magnoliopsida; Poales; Poaceae
Source: RefSeq, a predicted model, not a curated record